This 836-nucleotide ribosomal RNA is filed under the name Salmonella enterica. RNAcentral's name for it is "partial 23S ribosomal RNA". It matches the Rfam family "Bacterial large subunit ribosomal RNA", at positions 711 to 1547 of the family's 2925-position model. The record is from RNAcentral. Lineage: Bacteria; Pseudomonadati; Pseudomonadota; Gammaproteobacteria; Enterobacterales; Enterobacteriaceae. RNAcentral also lists the same sequence under 1 other name.
AGACCCGAAACCCGGUGAUCUAGCCAUGGGCAGGUUGAAGGUUGGGUAACACUAACUGGAGGACCGAACCGACUAAUGUUGAAAAAUUAGCGGAUGACCUGUGGCUGGGGGUGAAAGGCCAAUCAAACCGGGAGAUAGCUGGUUCUCCCCGAAAGCUAUUUAGGUAGCGCCUCGUGAAUUCAUCUCCGGGGGUAGAGCACUGUUUCGGCUAGGGGGCCAUCCCGGCUUACCAACCCGAUGCAAACUGCGAAUACCGGAGAAUGUUAUCACGGGAGACACACGGCGGGUGCUAACGUCCGUCGUGAAGAGGGAAACAACCCAGACCGCCAGCUAAGGUCCCAAAGUCAUGGUUAAGUGGGAAACGAUGUGGGAAGGCCCAGACAGCCAGGAUGUUGGCUUAGAAGCAGCCAUCAUUUAAAGAAAGCGUAAUAGCUCACUGGUCGAGUCGGCCUGCGCGGAAGAUGUAACGGGGCUAAACCAUGCACCGAAGCUGCGGCAGCGACGCUUAUGCGUUGUUGGGUAGGGGAGCGUUCUGUAAGCCUGCGAAGGUGGCCUGUGAGGGUUGCUGGAGGUAUCAGAAGUGCGAAUGCUGACAUAAGUAACGAUAAAGCGGGUGAAAAGCCCGCUCGCCGGAAGACCAAGGGUUCCUGUCCAACGUUAAUCGGGGCAGGGUGAGUCGACCCCUAAGGCGAGGCCGAAAGGCGUAGUCGAUGGGAAACGGGUUAAUAUUCCCGUACUUGGUGUUACUGCGAAGGGGGGACGGAGAAGGCUAUGUUGGCCGGGCGACGGUUGUCCCGGUUUAAGCGUGUAGGUGUGUGUUCCAGGUAAAUCCGGUU